This 254-nucleotide unclassified non-coding RNA is filed under the name Hevea brasiliensis (rubber tree). The record is from RNAcentral. Lineage: Eukaryota; Viridiplantae; Streptophyta; Magnoliopsida; Malpighiales; Euphorbiaceae.
UGGUUCUUGUUUGGAAGAGAUGGUAUGCUUGCUUGGCUGUGGGGGUGAUUUUCCUUGCUUUUGCUGCUUUCUUGUUUUCUUUGGAGAAAGGAUCUCCCUGAUUUGGCUUCAGGCGACCUUCUCUUGCCAAGUUCUGGUCAGCGGCGACUCUGUGUUGACAUACGCUCAAGGUUUUUUAGUUUGCUUCAAUUAGAGUUGUUGUUUAGGGGCUGGGCUCUUUUUUGGGCUUGUAUCAUUAGGUAGGGGUUUAAUAA